This 1728-nucleotide long non-coding RNA is filed under the name Sus scrofa (pig). RNAcentral's name for it is "lncRNA (ENSSSCG00025042362.1, ENSSSCG00035079431.1)". Lineage: Eukaryota; Metazoa; Chordata; Mammalia; Artiodactyla; Suidae. The record is from RNAcentral.
AACCUCAAAUGGAAGUUCCCAUGCUAAGGGUUGAAUCAGGGCUGCAGCUGCUGACUUAUACCACAGCCACAGCAAACCCCAAUCUGAGCUGCAUCUGCAAACUGUGCAGCAGCUUGCCAAAAAAUGCUGGCUCCUUAACACACCUAGCAAGGCCAGGGACAUAUUAUUACAUCCUCAGGGACAUUAUGCCAGGUUCUUAACCUGCUGAGCCACAACAAGAACGCCCCAGGUGUAAUUUUGAAGCCCUAGUAUAACGGCUCUGAAAUAUUUAUUGGUUUUUGUAUGCGGUGUUCUCUUGGUAUCAAUUUGUUUGACCUUAACUCUAUCCCACUGGAUGAGUAAUUAUUUCUCCUCUAUUUUCUCAUACUUGUUCAAAGAACCAUUGAGAACCUCAUAUAUGCUGGCCUACUAAGUUCUAGAUAUUCAAAAAUGGGUAAGAUGUUUUCACCAUCAUUGUGUUUACAAUUUCAAGGAGAAAUAAGUUUCUUUGGGCUUAUUUGUUUGCCGCCAUUUUCUCUCAUGCAGAUAUAAUACAUCUGUCACAUCACAACUGACUGUUGCAGUUAUUUUGGGGGGGUUGUGUUUGUUUGUUUAUGAGAGUUUCUUACCCGGAUAAUAUUUAUUCCCAGGGAUUUAUCAAUGUGCAGGGCACUAAAGGGAGGCAGAAUUUGCCACCCCAAACAUGUCUCUUUGGCAUAAGAUUAUUUUGAACUAUUUAUUCUUUUAAAAUGGCAGACAUGGGAGAAGCUCUGAAAAUGAAGUAGAAGUUACCCUUUUAUAAGAGCAAUUUAUAUUUAUAAGGGAAAUCUUUAUUUAUAAGAGUUACCCCCUCUGUAACAGGAAAAAGAGAAUGAUUAAAUCUUUAGAAACUCUGGGAGUUCCCGUCGUGGCUCAGUGGUUAACGAAUCCGACUAGGAACCAUGAGGUUGCGGGUUCGGUCCCUGCCCUUGCUCAGAAAUGUUUAUUCUAAAAAUACCAGGGCAUUUAAGAGUGAUAAAACAAAACAAAUAUGUCCCCAGAAUGAUUUUCUUAUGUUAAAUAUAAUUAGAAUGGGUGAGUACUUGUUAAAUAUAACAAAUACAUAUGCAUAGCACCUUUUCUAGGACUAUCUUGUCCAAAGAUAUAGCACUGUUAUCAACAGUAUGAGUCAAGAGAAGGAAAUGUAUUUUGAGAAUUUAACUAACAAGUGUACACAAAAUGAAUGAUACAAGCCAUUAGCAAAAAUAACCUGAAGUCUGCCCAUAGAAGUAUGACUAACUGGUUUUGAAAUAGCCACAGUUCCAAUCAAGGUGACCUUCAUACAAUCUUAGGAAGGCAGAACCGAAGUGCAAUUGAAACUUAGUAACGGUAUAUCUAAUAAUUGCAUUAAAUGCUGUCUAGAGAAAGACAACAUGAAUGAAAGAAGAAAAUCUCUUGAUGAAACGCAAAUAAGGAAAACUCCAAACAGCAGAACGUUAGUAGAAGUUGUCCACCCCAGAACUGCCAAGGUACUGAAUUGCUCAGAUGGAUAGAUCAGGGCAUGGAGGUAACUCUGCCAUGCUUAAAAACUCAUGCCCAAUCCCUCCCACUCCCUCCCCCUCCCAUCAGGCAGCCACAAGUCUUUUCUCCAAGGCUAGAUACUCAUGUUGCAACAGAACAAAGGGUGGGGGAAAAAAUGUAAUUGUAAUGUAUACAUGUAAGGAUAACUUGACCCCCUUGCUGUACAGUGGGAAAAUAAAAAAUAAAAAA